AUCUUAUCAAGAGUGGUGGAGGGACUGGCCCUUUGAAACCCGGCAACCGAAAUAUUGGUUUAUAAUCAAUAUUUAUAUGGUGCUAAUUCCAGCAGCAAUUUAGCUGAUAGAUGAGAG
RNAcentral lists this non-coding RNA (117 nucleotides) under Clostridium saccharoperbutylacetonicum. RNAcentral describes it as "SAM-I sequence". It matches the Rfam family "SAM riboswitch aptamer (S box leader)". Rfam says of the family: The SAM riboswitch is found upstream of a number of genes which code for proteins involved in methionine or cysteine biosynthesis in Gram-positive bacteria. RNAcentral also lists the same sequence under 1 other name. The record is from RNAcentral. Lineage: Bacteria; Bacillati; Bacillota; Clostridia; Eubacteriales; Clostridiaceae.